Long non-coding RNA from Sphaeramia orbicularis (orbiculate cardinalfish), 716 nucleotides. RefSeq lists it as uncharacterized. The transcript has 2 exons. The record is from RefSeq and is a predicted model, not a curated record. NCBI's taxonomy places the organism in Eukaryota, Metazoa, Chordata, Actinopteri, Kurtiformes, Apogonidae.
CCAUUCCACUGAUUUAUGUGCAGUAUUCAAAGGUAUUUAACACAUAUAGAGAAGGCCAAGAAGACAGAAAUAACUUGUUUUUCUCUUUAUUUUCGCCUUAAAACGGGGCUUUAAAAACGCACCUCUCUGCCUCUUCUCUACCUUCAUCAUCAUCAACAAAAUGUGAGCUCAUCUACUUUUUUGCCCUUUUAAAUUAUACAAAAAAUACUGUAAACCCACCCUCCUACAAUCAUUCUUCCUGACCCCACAUUUAUUUAUAUUACUUUUUUUUUUUUUUGUUACUCUGUAUUCCUGGAGGAACAGACCUGGGCUUGGUUUAUUGUUUGAGGGACAAACAUGGAUCAAGAAGUUGCUUUUUUUCUUUUUUUUUUUUUUACACAUCAGCUGGAGUUGUAUUCAGCUUUGACGGUGUACAAUUGACAAACAUUACAUUUAAAAAAAAAAAAGUCUAAAGCAUGGUGUUGUAAAACAUCAGGAAUUCAUAAGGGUCAGAUGUCGAUAUUGCCAACAACUACAAGUGCUAAAAGGACUUGUUAAUUGAUUGGUGCUGACACGUUAAAAAAAAAAAUACACAAAAUAAAACCUAACAGGACCUCAUACUAAAUGCUGAAUCUUUGAAAUGUAAUAGUAAUAACAAAAAGAAAAAAAAAAAAAGAAGUGUAUGUUUAAAGCCAAAGAAGAAUUCCAGCCCAGCAGUACUGGUUUACUGAGGGUGA